This 429-nucleotide ribosomal RNA is filed under the name Acidobacteriota bacterium. Its description in RNAcentral is "Acidobacteria bacterium partial 16S ribosomal RNA". It matches the Rfam family "Bacterial small subunit ribosomal RNA", at positions 355 to 776 of the family's 1533-position model. The record is from RNAcentral. Lineage: Bacteria; Pseudomonadati; Acidobacteriota.
UGGGGAAUUUUGGACAAUGGGGGAAACCCUGAUCCAGCCAUCCCGCGUGUGCGAUGAAGGCCUUCGGGUUGUAAAGCACUUUUGGCAGGAAAGAAACGUCAUGGGUUAAUACCCCGUGAAACUGACGGUACCUGCAGAAUAAGCACCGGCUAACUACGUGCCAGCAGCCGCGGUAAUACGUAGGGUGCAAGCGUUAAUCGGAAUUACUGGGCGUAAAGCGUGCGCAGGCGGUUCGGAAAGAAAGAUGUGAAAUCCCAGAGCUCAACUUUGGAACUGCAUUUUUAACUACCGGGCUAGAGUGUGUCAGGGGGAGGUGGAAUUCCGCGUGUAGCAGUGAAAUGCGUAGAUAUGCGGAGGAACACCGAUGGCGAAGGCAGCCUCCUGGGAUAACACUGACGCUCAUGCACGAAAGCGUGGGGAGCAAACAGG